AUGGGGAGAACAGCACAUAUACUAAAACUGGAGCCAUACAGAAAGAAGUAGCAUGUCCCCUGUGCAAGCAUGGCAUGAAAAAUUGUGAAGCAUUCCAUAUUUAA
RNAcentral lists this small nuclear RNA (104 nucleotides) under Meriones unguiculatus (Mongolian gerbil). Lineage: Eukaryota; Metazoa; Chordata; Mammalia; Rodentia; Muridae. The record is from RNAcentral.